RNAcentral lists this non-coding RNA (76 nucleotides) under uncultured Lawsonibacter sp. RNAcentral's name for it is "ZMP/ZTP riboswitch". It matches the Rfam family "ZMP/ZTP riboswitch aptamer (pfl RNA motif)". From Rfam's summary of the family: Previously known as pfl RNA. The record is from RNAcentral. Lineage: Bacteria; Bacillati; Bacillota; Clostridia; Eubacteriales; Oscillospiraceae.
CGCGGUGUAACUGACGGAAGUGGAACAGACCACGGGGAGCAUCGCCUGUGCUUUUCUGCCGACCGUCUGGGCGCAC